GUCGUUCUCGUGUAAACGUCCGUCUCUACGGAUAUUUUCACGUGCGUUUUUGUGCUAUUUGUGAAUCGUAGUUUGAGUGUAAAGCAUCGAAAGGUGUGAUUGACAAGGAUCUACUCGUUUAUAGUUGUGGAAAAGAAUCAAACCGAAAAGAGACGUUGAAACGUGCUUUCUCACAGCAGCAGAACAUCCGACCAUGGCAUAUUUUCCUCCUGCUGAGCGGUUAAUACGCUUUAAGAUGUGACUUCUCGAGCAUCAUCAUCGAAUCACGUUUUCAAUAUUGACGUAACUCGUUCACCGAUUUAUUAAAAGCUCACCAUAUCAAUUCAGAGUUCUUAGUAAUACGAUUCUUUUUUUCAUGGUGAAAAAGAUUGCAUCCAAUUCCGAGCUGCAAUUAUCUCGUCUCGAGACCUAUUUUAUCUUCUUCGUCUGAUAAAAACGAUACAAUAAUAGGUUCUGCUUCUACGUUAUUAAUUUAACUCAUCGAUUUUCUGGGACGAAGUUUAACGAAGUUACGAACAACAAGCUGAAAGUUUAAGGAUCACAGAGCAGAGCUUUUGGAAGUUCAUUCAUUCGACGAGACGGAAAAACUCGUGACAAAUCUUCCAUCUAAUCCUCGAGAAUCUCUGUUCAAACACACUUUCGCGUGAAACUGCGAGAAACUUUUAGUAACGGCUAACAAUUGUUCCACGUCCUUCGUUGCACCGUCUCUGGCACGUGGCUCUGAUAACGUAACCAGGAAGCGCAUCGAUAUCCUCUCACCUCUUCACAUUAGUCUCUUGUCCAGCCUGCCGAUCCACUCUUCGAAAAACUUCUUUUUCCACUUUUUUUUUUUUUUUUUGUCCAUCUCAUCGAAGAGAAUUAGUAACGAAAACACACUGCGCAAAGUUCGAGAUAACGGCUCGCGAAAUAAUUAAUCCACGUGGCAAACGAGCAUCUUUUACGACGCAACUGCUCGUCAAAUUGAUGUAAACGUCGUCAUCGUGAUCUCGAAAUAGCGACGAAGACAGCGAGCGAGAACAAACGUCGGAUCGUCGUGGAUCGAACGGCGAUUAGAAUCAUUGUUUCGAUUUUUUGGGGGAAAAGUGGAGAAGAGAGAGCUGUCCGAGCUAAAGAGAAAAGAAGAAAGGGAUCAGGAUAUUGAUCGAGAUUCGGUACGUCGAUCAAAUUCGGGACGAUUUUACGAGGUAAACCGAGUCACAUUUUGCUCAUCAACACUGAGUGGUUCCAAUUGACGGCCGGGUCGACCCUCCAGCGUAGACACUAUUGGUCAGCCUUUUAAUACCGGCAGUCGCGAUUGGAUCAGAUACCCAGAUCGUUCUUGGACAGAAGACAUCGCUCGAGCAAAACUUCGGUUCAAAAGUUUUAACGUCGCCAGUGUCGCGCGAUUUGCUGCCCGUUCGCAAGGGUCGUACACAGAUCUCCAACAGGCGCAGUUCGUCUCAGUCGGUUUAAGUCGGUCAACGAUUGCGUUUAUAAAGAUAAUCAACCAGAACAAUACGAAGGAAGCAAUUGCAUCAGGAAGUCGAACCGACUCUCGACUGUGCUCCGCCGACUGACUUUCGAAAAAAGAUAUUCGAUUUGUCAUUCUCAGAUCUUCGGUGUUGGAGGGAACAAAAAAAAAGAAGGACAAUCGAAGGAAAUAAUCGAACUUGAUAACACGUAUCGCAAGCAGCAUCGUUUCGAUCGACCAGUUGAAUGGCUCAAAUUUAUUGGCUCUUGCUCUUUGAAAGAUCUUGAUCGUUGCGUUGCAUUGCCGACUAUUUGGGAAAGAAAGGAAAUCGAGCCUAGAGGGAGAUUCGUGUUCGCAGUAUACGACCAAGAGGACGAUUUCUGGCCGACUUUUUCGUAAGAUUCGACUUUCCCAGCGCGGAAAGAAGUUUGAGGAACAUCGGGGAACGAAACAAAUACCAUUUGGUUUUACGCCACGAAGCCUCGUUUCCCCCCUUCUGGAUCAGGUUUAUCUUUCCGUCGGCAUCAUGGAACGAAGGAUCCUGAAAAUGUGGUGACGACGUGAUAGGCGAAGGCCUUCGAUUAUCGAGACACUAUCAAGUGGUGUGAGCCAUAGUCGUUAGAAAGAAAAAUAUAUUUUUACGUGUCCAGUGACACCCCAGCGACAAUUCGUUUUUUAUAACGUAUAAUAUAUUAAAAAAAGAAAAAAAAAAAAA
Molecule: unclassified non-coding RNA, 2165 nt
Filed under: Apis florea (little honeybee)
Lineage: Eukaryota; Metazoa; Arthropoda; Insecta; Hymenoptera; Apidae
Description: probable inactive tRNA-specific adenosine deaminase- like protein 3, transcript variant X6
Source: RNAcentral